RNAcentral lists this transfer RNA (70 nucleotides) under Loxodonta africana (African savanna elephant). It matches the Rfam family "tRNA". Rfam says of the family: Transfer RNA (tRNA) molecules are approximately 80 nucleotides in length. Their secondary structure includes four short double-helical elements and three loops (D, anti-codon, and T loops). Further hydrogen bonds mediate the characteristic L-shaped molecular structure. tRNAs have two regions of fundamental functional importance: the anti-codon, which is responsible for specific mRNA codon recognition, and the 3' end, to which the tRNAs corresponding amino acid is attached (by aminoacyl-tRNA synthetases). tRNAs cope with the degeneracy of the genetic code in two manners: having more than one tRNA (with a specific anti-codon) for a particular amino acid; and 'wobble' base-pairing, i.e. permitting non-standard base-pairing at the 3rd anti-codon position. The record is from Rfam by way of RNAcentral. Lineage: Eukaryota; Metazoa; Chordata; Mammalia; Proboscidea; Elephantidae.
GCAUCAGUGGUUCAGUGGUGGAAUGCUCGCCUUUCAUGCAGGAGACCUGGUUCAAUUCCUGGCCAAUGCG